UGUUAUAGCUAUUGCAGCCGCUGAAGCAGCCAUUGGACUGGCUAUUGUUUCAUCAAUUUACCGUAACAUAAAAUCAACUCGUGUCAACCAAUCAAAUUUGUUGAAUAAUUAGUAUUAAUCAUCUAGAUUCUAAUAUUGAUAAAUCGAUUUUAAUUAGUAUAUUUGCUACGUAAGGUGUGAUCUUAUUUGCAAAACAUAAAAAAUCAAAGU
RNAcentral lists this long non-coding RNA (210 nucleotides) under Nicotiana benthamiana. RNAcentral's name for it is "long non-coding RNA (NBEN_LNC006884)". Lineage: Eukaryota; Viridiplantae; Streptophyta; Magnoliopsida; Solanales; Solanaceae. The record is from RNAcentral.